This 440-nucleotide long non-coding RNA is filed under the name Equus caballus (horse). RNAcentral's name for it is "lncRNA (ENSECAG00000048615.1)". The record is from RNAcentral. Lineage: Eukaryota; Metazoa; Chordata; Mammalia; Perissodactyla; Equidae.
UUUCUUACUUCCGGCAUCUUCAAGCUGCAAUCUGGGAGCAUUUUCCUUCUAUCUAUUAAAGAACAUCCUUUAGUGUUGGUGCACUGGUGACAAAUUCUUUCAGUAUUUUUAUAUGAAAAUACCAUCGUUUCACCUUAAUUUCUGAAGGAUUCUUAAUUUCACUGGAUAUUGAAUCCCAGAUAUUACACCUGCCUAUUGUCCCAGUCCUCUUUCUGGGACUUCAAAUGCGUCUUAAAAUACAAUUUUUGUCCCAUAAAGGCCAUGAAUCUGUUGAAAACUAUGCUCACUUUCAUAUCCUCUCUGUUGUACAUUCUGAUUUGGUAUCUGCAGCUAGAGGAAAAGAAGCUCAAUAUCAACUCAUCAUUCUGGAUUUGCUUCAUCUCCCAGAUCUUGGCAAUGCAAUUCUUCACUACUUUGUUAACCCUCCAAUAUCUUCAAAC